GACGAACGCUGGCGGCGUGCCUAAUACAUGCAAGUCGAACGCUGAAGGAGGAGCUUGCUUCUCUGGAUGAGUUGUGAACGGGUGAGUAACGCGUAGGUAACCUGCCUGGUAGCGGGGGAUAACUAUUGGAAACGAUAGCUAAUACCGCAUAAGAGUAGAUGUCGCAUGACAUUUGCUUAAAAGGUGCAAUUGCAUCACUACCAGAUGGACCUGCGUUGUAUUAGCUAGUUGGUGAGGUAACGGCUCACCAAGGCAACGAUACAUAGCCGACCUGAGAGGGUGAUCGGCCACACUGGGACUGAGACACGGCCCAGACUCCUACGGGAGGCAGCAGUAGGGAAUCUUCGGCAAUGGACGGAAGUCUGACCGAGCAACGCCGCGUGAGUGAAGAAGGGUUUCGGAUCGUAAAGCUCUGUUGUAAGAGAAGAACGAGUGUGAGAGUGGAAAGUUCACACUGUGACGGUAUCUUACCAGAAAGGGACGGCUAACUACGUG
Molecule: ribosomal RNA, 495 nt
Filed under: uncultured bacterium
Lineage: Bacteria
Description: partial 16S ribosomal RNA
Rfam family: Bacterial small subunit ribosomal RNA
Source: RNAcentral